UGGGCACGGAUAGAGAAAGCUGAAUUAGAUCAAAGCUGAGAGUGACACCUAUAUGAUUGUCCAUGUUAGAAGUGUAAGAAGCAGCUCUAGCAGGCCUGUUAUGGAUGCCACAUUGGAAGACAGCCUCCACUCCCAGACGAGCUGUUUGACUGCGAGCCCCACAGACUAAUGGAGCCCUUCACCAUGACGCCCUUUCACAUCUCAACCUGUAUUUCAAACCUGCAUGUAAAACGGGCCACAGGGUUCAUUUUCUCUGGAAUGCAGGUAGUGAUGCUUUUAGUACACUCAGUUCUUGGUCUGACGUGGAUCAGUCAUAGCAGCUCGUUUUGUCAUGAAAAUCAGGCACCACUGUUAUUCCAUUUAUCACAGGUUACACAUGAGGUGAAGAUAAAGAAUAAAACUUUGAUUCUAAAUAUCUGAUGUUCAGUGCUUGCUCUGUCUGCAUUUGGAAAGUGAGUCAUAACACCUAGUCAAAGAUAGAGCUAGUCUUCUUUGUAUGUCUGGAGUCAUAACAAUUGUGGUCUGAUGUUUUGCAAUGUGUUCAUUGGAGAUUUAGAGCAACACCUGACACUGAGUCAUGUGGAUUCUUCCAUAGCCUAGAUGUAUCCUCUGUGGGACACUUGUCACUUUCACAGUGGGUAUCUGAGGACAAUACACCAACAAAACCAUACAGUUUUCAACAUUUUAACAUGAUGUACUUACAUUAUGAGUCAAACAUGAGGAAUUUAUAGACUUAUUUACCACACAGUUUUCAGUGGCUUAGACCGACAUUGUCAUUGUCAUACCAUCACUCUCUUCCUUAUAUCCUGGUUUCACCCAAACUUCUUGGAAUGAAAAUGUGUUUCUAUCCAAUACUCUGAGAAAUAUAAAUCUAUACAAUGCCACAGAUAACAACUAUGUAUAAUAUUUAUCAAAAUUCUACUACUAUACUAAGAAAUUAGGACAGGUUCGACUUACAUAUUUAAUUGUCCACAAUUAUAUUAAACCCUCAGGACCCCAAGACCAACCUGAUCAUCUGAAAGUCAUGCUAUCUUUAAAAAAACAAACAAAUAAAAACACAAAAAUGACACCGUUUGUCAGAGUCAAAAACUGUAACAACAAAAACAAUCCUUGGAUUUUACACUUUUGGAUUACCCCUUAACCAAUCAUGUGUGACAUGUGGAUUAAUCAUUAAAAUUAACCAUAUCUAAGCCUAAAAUCAUAAUAUUUCAUUGAUGUUUCUUUAUUCCACGUGGUGUUCAAAAAAUUGCCAAAAAUAAACCGUUAGCACUUAGCAGAUUUAGUAAAAAAUAAUAAAAUUCUGCAUUCAUUGGUGCAACUAAAAACCUAUGAAUAACUCACUAACUGUGACCAACAGUCACGUGACAAAAACUCAGACUAUUCAGCUGAACUACAGGCUGUGUUUACACAGAGCAGAAAGGAGAAAAGUCUGGAAACAAAUUGGAGAGGCUGAGAGCAAAAUAGAACAUACUUAAUCAAUAAAUAAACGCAGCACGGCCCAUUAACUGUAUACAGAGGAACCAAUUGUUAGAAAGUUGUUGGACGAUACAUUCAGCAUGGAAAAAUAUCAUUCUAGAGUUGACGCCAAGCUUGUAAAGGUUUCAAAAAUGUGAGACGUAAAAUAUAUAUAAUACGCAUAAUAUUCUUUUUCCAAUACUAGUUGAAGCUGUGGGCACCUGGAAAAUGUUAUACAUGUUGAUUCCAGGUGCUUUAGUUUUUUGUAAAAUAAGUCUCCAAAGAAAUUCAACUUUCAUUUUUCCUUUUUGUAUAAUCUAUAGAAGUUUAUCAUACAGACAGAAGAUAUUUUUGAGCUCUUUCCAUUUCGAGCUAUGGUCAUGUUGUUUUCAUAGAUGUUCAGGAAUUUAUAUUGCAGUGAAAACUGAGCCUAGAAUGAAUAUAAAUGUGACAAGAGCGAAAAAAAAAAAACACCCAGAAACUGCUUGGACUUGAGAGUGCUAUGAUCGCCUUUUAUAUUCCAUUGGUUUUGCUAUCUGACACACUGUUUGCUCUUUUAUAUCAUGUACUUCAUUGUACGUUAUUAUGUCCCUCUAUACCCUGUGUGCUGUGCUCUUAUUUUAUAUUUCUGUAUUAUAUGUUUAAUAUGCUGCUGGUUUCUUGAAUUUCCCUCUGGAUCAACAAAAUACUUAACUGACUACCAUGUUAUACAUCACGCACUUUUAUGUUAUGUUAUAUUUGCGCUUUGAUGUUUUGGUUUUAAUCUGCUUAAAAUUUAUUCCUGUUAUUUUUUAAUGCUUGUUUGAUGUGUGCAUAAUAGUUCUAGCAUCAGCUGUCAGCAUAUUAGGCAAAAAUAGCAAAAAGUGUGUCUGAUAAAUUCUCUGUCCCAUGAAGGCUGUAUUAAACUACCAUUACGUUCA
Molecule: long non-coding RNA, 2375 nt
Organism: Amphiprion ocellaris (clown anemonefish)
Lineage: Eukaryota; Metazoa; Chordata; Actinopteri; Pomacentridae
Exons: 2
Source: RefSeq, a predicted model, not a curated record